GCGUUUGUGGCCGUUGACGAACAGUGGCGAACGUACCAAUGCGGACUUCUAAUCCGCGGGUCGCAGGUUCGAAUCCUGCCGGGCGCG
RNAcentral lists this transfer RNA (87 nucleotides) under Actinomycetota bacterium. RNAcentral describes it as "tRNA-Arg". The stretch from base 27 to 87 matches the Rfam family "tRNA". From Rfam's summary of the family: Transfer RNA (tRNA) molecules are approximately 80 nucleotides in length. Their secondary structure includes four short double-helical elements and three loops (D, anti-codon, and T loops). Lineage: Bacteria; Bacillati; Actinomycetota. The record is from RNAcentral.